UCAUGGGAUAACUUCGGGAAACCGAAGCUAAUACCGGAUACGACCCUCGGAGGCAUCUCCUGGGGGUGGAAAGAAUUUCGGUGAGGGAUGGACUCGCGGCCUAUCAGGUAGUUGGUGAGGUAACGGCUCACCAAGCCGACGACGGGUAGCCGGCCUGAGAGGGUGACCGGCCACACUGGGACUGAGACACGGCCCAGACUCCUACGGGAGGCAGCAGUGGGGAAUAUUGCACAAUGGGCGCAAGCCUGAUGCAGCAACGCCGCGUGAGGGACGACGGCCUUCGGGUUGUAAACCUCUUUUAGUAGGGAAGAAGCCGCAAGGUGACGGUACCUGCAGAAAAAGCACCGGCUAACUACGUGCCAGCAGCCGCGGUAAUACGUAGGGUGCAAGCGUUGUCCGGAAUUAUUGGGCGUAAAGAGCUCGUAGGCGGUUUGUCGCGUCUGCUGUGAAAACUGGAGGCUCAACCUCCAGCCUGCAGUGGGUACGGGCAGACUAGAGUGCGGUAGGGGAGAUUGGAAUUCCUGGUGUAGCGGUGGAAUGCGCAGAUAUCAGGAGGAACACCGAUGGCGAAGGCAGAUCUCUGGGCCGUAACUGACGCUGAGGAGCGAAAGCAUGGGGAGCGAACAGGAUUAGAUACCCUGGUAGUCCAUGCCGUAAACGUUGGGAACUAGAUGUAGGGACCAUUCCACGGUUUCUGUGUCGCAGCUAACGCAUUAAGUUCCCCGCCUGGGGAGUACGGCCGCAAGGCUAAAACUCAAAGGAAUUUGACGGGGGCCCGCACAAGCGGCGGAGCAUGCGGAUUA
RNAcentral lists this ribosomal RNA (803 nucleotides) under Leifsonia sp. FS-YC6687. RNAcentral describes it as "bacterial SSU rRNA". It matches the Rfam family "Bacterial small subunit ribosomal RNA", at positions 136 to 948 of the family's 1533-position model. Lineage: Bacteria; Bacillati; Actinomycetota; Actinomycetes; Micrococcales; Microbacteriaceae. The record is from RNAcentral.